UACACAGGUCUCAAGCGUUGUUCGGAUUCAUUGGGCGUAAAGGGUGCGUAGGCGGCGCGGUAAGUCGGGUGUGAAAUCUCGGAGCUUAACUCCGAAACUGCAUUCGAUACUGCCGUGCUUGAGGACUGGAGAGGAGACUGGAAUUUACGGUGUAGCGGUGAAAUGCGUAGAUAUCGUAAGGAAGACCAGUGGCGAAGGCGGGUCUCUGGACAGUUCCUGACGCUGAGGCACGAAGGUCAGGGGAGCAAACGGG
This 253-nucleotide ribosomal RNA is filed under the name uncultured bacterium. Its description in RNAcentral is "partial 16S ribosomal RNA". It matches the Rfam family "Bacterial small subunit ribosomal RNA", at positions 524 to 776 of the family's 1533-position model. The record is from RNAcentral.